Molecule: ribosomal RNA, 303 nt
Filed under: Burkholderia ubonensis
Lineage: Bacteria; Pseudomonadati; Pseudomonadota; Betaproteobacteria; Burkholderiales; Burkholderiaceae
Description: partial 16S ribosomal RNA
Rfam family: Bacterial small subunit ribosomal RNA
Source: RNAcentral
UUGAACUGAAGAGUUUGAUCCUGGCUCAGAUUGAACGCUGGCGGCAUGCCUUACACAUGCAAGUCGAACGGCAGCACUGGCUUCGGCCUGGUGGCGAGUGGCGAACGGGUGAGUAAUACAUCGGAACAUGUCCUGUAGUGGGGGAUAGCCCGGCGAAAGCCGGAUUAAUACCGCAUACGAUCCACGGAUGAAAGCGGGGGACCUUCGGGCCUCGCGCUAUAGGGUUGGCCGAUGGCUGAUUAGCUAGUUGGUGGGGUAAAGGCCUACCAAGGCGACGAUCAGUAGCUGGUCUGAGAGGACGAC